RNAcentral lists this ribosomal RNA (510 nucleotides) under uncultured bacterium. RNAcentral's name for it is "partial 16S ribosomal RNA". It matches the Rfam family "Bacterial small subunit ribosomal RNA", at positions 28 to 507 of the family's 1533-position model. The record is from RNAcentral.
GACGAACGCUGGCGGCGUGCUUAACACAUGCAAGUCGAACGAAGAGCGAUGGAAGCUUGCUUCUAUCAAUCUUAGUGGCGAACGGGUGAGUAACGCGUAAUCAACCUGCCCUUCAGAGGGGGACAACAGUUGGAAACGACUGCUAAUACCGCAUACGAUCUAAUCUCGGCAUCGAGGAUAGAUGAAAGGUGGCCUCUACAUGUAAGCUAUCACUGAAGGAGGGGAUUGCGUCUGAUUAGCUAGUUGGAGGGGUAGCGGCCCACCAAGGCGAUGAUCAGUAGCCGGUCUGAGAGGAUGAACGGCCACAUUGGGACUGAGACACGGCCCAGACUCCUACGGGAGGCAGCAGUGGGGAAUCUUCCGCAAUGGACGAAAGUCUGACGGAGCAACGCCGCGUGAGCGAUGACGGCCUUCGGGUUGUAAAGCUCUGUUAAUCGGGACGAAAGGCCUUCUUGCGAAUAGUGAGAAGGAUUGACGGUACCGGAAUAGAAAGCCACGGCUAACUACGUG